RNAcentral lists this ribosomal RNA (447 nucleotides) under uncultured bacterium. Its description in RNAcentral is "bacterial SSU rRNA". It matches the Rfam family "Bacterial small subunit ribosomal RNA", at positions 329 to 793 of the family's 1533-position model. The record is from RNAcentral.
GUCCAGACUCCUACGGGAGGCAGCAGUGGGGAAUAUUGCACAAUGGGGGAAACCCUGAUGCAGCGACGCCGCGUGAGCGAUGAAGUAUUUCGGUAUGUAAAGCUCUAUCAGCAGGGAAGAAAAUGACGGUACCUGACUAAGAAGCCCCGGCUAACUACGUGCCAGCAGCCGCGGUAAUACGUAGGGGGCAAGCGUUAUCCGGAUUUACUGGGUGUAAAGGGAGCGUAGACGGCUGUGCAAGCCAGAUGUGAAAGCCCGGGGCUCAACCCCGGGACUGCAUUUGGAACUGUGUGGCUGGAGUGUCGGAGAGGCAGGCGGAAUUCCUAGUGUAGCGGUGAAAUGCGUAGAUAUUAGGAGGAACACCAGUGGCGAAGGCGGCCUGCUGGACGAUGACUGACGUUGAGGCUCGAAAGCGUGGGGAGCAAACAGGAUUAGAUACCCCCGUAC